RNAcentral lists this ribosomal RNA (465 nucleotides) under uncultured bacterium. RNAcentral describes it as "partial 16S ribosomal RNA". It matches the Rfam family "Bacterial small subunit ribosomal RNA", at positions 28 to 507 of the family's 1533-position model. The record is from RNAcentral.
GACGAACGCUGGCGGCGUGCUUAACACAUGCAAGUCGUACGGUAAGGCCCUUUCGGGGGUACACGAGUGGCGAACGGGUGAGUAACACGUGAGUAACCUGCCCACAACUUUGGGAUAACGCUAGGAAACUGGUGCUAAUACUGGAUAUGUGCUCCUGCUGCAUGGUGGGGGUUGGAAAGCUCCGGCGGUUGUGGAUGGACUCGCGGCCUAUCAGCUUGUUGGUGGGGUAGUGGCCUACCAAGGCGGCGACGGGUAGCCGGCCUGAGAGGAUGACCGGCCACAUUGGGACUGAGAUACGGCCCAGACUCCUACGGGAGGCAGCAGUGGGGAAUAUUGCACAAUGGGCGCAAGCCUGAUGCAGCAACGCCGCGUGCGGGAUGACGGCCUUCGGGUUGUAAACCGCUUUCAGCAGGGACGAAGCUUUUUGUGACGGUACCUGCAGAAGAAGCACCGGCUAACUACGUG